This 108-nucleotide small nuclear RNA is filed under the name Castor canadensis (American beaver). Lineage: Eukaryota; Metazoa; Chordata; Mammalia; Rodentia; Castoridae. The record is from RNAcentral.
GUGCUUGCUUCAGCAGCACAUACACUAAAAUUGGAACAAUACUGAGAAGAUUAGCAUGGCCCCUGGGGCAAGGAUGACACGCAAAUUCGUGACACAUUCCAUAUUUUU